Molecule: transfer RNA, 76 nt
Filed under: Aeromicrobium sp.
Lineage: Bacteria; Bacillati; Actinomycetota; Actinomycetes; Propionibacteriales; Nocardioidaceae
Also listed under: 9 other names
Description: tRNA-Ala
Rfam family: tRNA
About the family: Transfer RNA (tRNA) molecules are approximately 80 nucleotides in length. Their secondary structure includes four short double-helical elements and three loops (D, anti-codon, and T loops). Further hydrogen bonds mediate the characteristic L-shaped molecular structure. tRNAs have two regions of fundamental functional importance: the anti-codon, which is responsible for specific mRNA codon recognition, and the 3' end, to which the tRNAs corresponding amino acid is attached (by aminoacyl-tRNA synthetases). tRNAs cope with the degeneracy of the genetic code in two manners: having more than one tRNA (with a specific anti-codon) for a particular amino acid; and 'wobble' base-pairing, i.e. permitting non-standard base-pairing at the 3rd anti-codon position.
Source: RNAcentral
GGGGAUGUAGCUCAGCUGGGAGAGCGCUGCGUUCGCAACGCAGAGGUCGGCGGUUCGAGCCCGCUCAUCUCCACCA